Molecule: ribosomal RNA, 393 nt
Filed under: uncultured bacterium
Lineage: Bacteria
Description: partial 16S ribosomal RNA
Rfam family: Bacterial small subunit ribosomal RNA
Source: RNAcentral
AUACGGAGGAUGCAAGCGUUAUCCGGAUUUAUUGGGUUUAAAGGGUGCGUAGGCGGUUUGCUAAGCGGGAGGUGAAAUGCCGGCGCUCAACGUCGGAAGUGCCUCCCGAACUGGUGGACUUGAAUGACUCUGCCGUGGGAGGAAUGUGUAGUGUAGCGGUGAAAUGCUUAGAGAUUACACAGAACACCGAUUGCAAAGGCAUCUCACGAAGGGUUGAUUGACGCUGAGGCACGAAAGCGUGGGGAUCAAACAGGAUUAGAUACCCUGGUAGUCCACGCAGUAAACGAUGAUGGCUAACCGCUGGGCUUAUCAGUUCAGUGGCCAAGCGAAAGCGAUAAGCCAUCCACCUGGGGAGUACGACCGCAAGGUUGAAACUCAAAUGAAUUGACGGGG